RNAcentral lists this long non-coding RNA (858 nucleotides) under Nicotiana benthamiana. RNAcentral's name for it is "long non-coding RNA (NBEN_LNC026394)". The record is from RNAcentral. Lineage: Eukaryota; Viridiplantae; Streptophyta; Magnoliopsida; Solanales; Solanaceae.
CCUCGGGAGACUCGAACUCGCAAUCUCUCGGUUGGAAAUGAGGUUGCUUACCAUCAGAGCAACUCCUCUUGUCUUAACAUUGAUGAACUUUUAAAAUUGUUUUUCUUCCCUAACCUUUACUAAAAAGUAUGUUAGUAUUUUUUUUUUUAAAUUUUGUUCUAUGAAUUAGAAUAAGGAUAAAAUAAUAUGUAUUUAGUUUCCGUUAAAAGGGUUAAGUGAGUUUCCAUGUUUACUGUUGCAAAAAUAGAUUAUACUUAUGCUAGCUUUGUUAGUUUAACUUUUAGAUCUCAAAUGAACGUGUAAAAAACUAUCUUCAUAUCCUUUUUUUUAGGAAAGUACGAGUAUGUUUAAUUCACUGAAGGAAGAUAAUUGUUUUCACUUUAAUGAAAGCCUAAAAUUGGGGUUUAAGCUAGAAGAUUGACUUAUAUGUUGACUUUGUUUCCGUAAUCUAUUUCAGGUUUUUUUUUCUUAAUAAUAUUUAUCUAAUCUGUAUCUUCUUUUAUCUUUGUUUGCAUAUGCACUUGGAGUAAUAUGAGUCUUACUGCAAGACUCGCCAAACCGAGCAUGGAGUCAUCACUGCACUGUACGCUAAUGGAGAACAAGAAAACAAGCAAAUUUGCUUGGGGUCGCCUAUGGCAGCUUUCGUUUUAGCAUAAGUUCUGUUUCUCUUAGUUGAUUCUUAUUUAUGUGAUUUGGAUUUUUCAGUUUAGAUUCAUCCUUAGUAUGGUAUUGACAAUCAAGUUUGAAUUUGGUAUUUCCACUUUAGGAUGAUAACAAAUUAUUUAUCCAUUAUAGUGCUCUUGUCGGUUUUAAUAUGAACUAGUAAAACUAAAUGCGUGUCAUAUUUAUUAAAAUCAG